RNAcentral lists this ribosomal RNA (359 nucleotides) under uncultured bacterium. Its description in RNAcentral is "bacterial SSU rRNA". It matches the Rfam family "Bacterial small subunit ribosomal RNA", at positions 135 to 507 of the family's 1533-position model. The record is from RNAcentral.
ACUGGGGGAUAACACUUAGAAAUAGGUGCUAAUACCGCAUAAGCGCACAGUACCGCAUGGUACCGUGUGAAAAACUCCGGUGGUGUAGGAUGGACCCGCGUCUGAUUAGGCCUAAGUUGGUGAGGUAAACGGGCCCACCAAGGCGACGAUCAGUAGCCGGCCUGAGAGGGUGACCGGCCACAUUGGGACUGAGACACGGCCCAAACUCCUACGGGAGGCAGCAGUGGGGAAUAUUGCGCAAUGGGGGCAACCCUGACGCAGCAACGCCGCGUUAAGGAUGAAGGCUUUCGGGUUGUAAACUUAUGUCGGGUGGGAAGAUAAUGACGGUACCACCGGAGAAAGUCACGGCUAACUACGUG